Molecule: ribosomal RNA, 253 nt
Filed under: uncultured bacterium
Lineage: Bacteria
Description: partial 16S ribosomal RNA
Rfam family: Bacterial small subunit ribosomal RNA
Source: RNAcentral
CACGUAGGGCGCGAGCGUUGUCCGGAAUUAUUGGGCGUAAAGAGCUCGUAGGCGGCCUGUUGCGUCCGCUGUGAAAGCCCGGGGCUUAACCCCGGGUCGGCAGUGGAUACGGGCAGGCUAGAGGUAGGUAGGGGAGAAUGGAAUUCCCGGUGUAGCGGAGAAAUGCGCAGAUAUCGGGAGGAACACCGGUGGCGAAGGCGGUUCUCUGGGCCUUACCUGACGCUGAGGAGCGAAAGCGUGGGGAGCGAACAGG